Long non-coding RNA from Mastomys coucha (southern multimammate mouse), 1008 nucleotides. RefSeq lists it as uncharacterized. The record is from RefSeq and is a predicted model, not a curated record. NCBI's taxonomy places the organism in Eukaryota, Metazoa, Chordata, Mammalia, Rodentia, Muridae. The transcript has 9 exons.
CCUGAUUUAGAAGGUCACAUGGAAAUUUCAACUGACUCAGACAUUUAAUGAAAAUGUCCAUCAAAUACCUCUCAUUUGAUAUUAGCAGUGGCCUCUGGGUGCUGAUUUGGCAGUGCAGUUCUGUUACUGAGGUUGCCACUUAGCCCUGUGUUACUGACUUUCUGUUGCUCUCUUGAAGGUGGGAAACUGAAGAUGAUAAAGGCCCUGUGGUUAUUCUAGAGUUUGAGAACAACUGAUAAUGGUUGCCCACCAUAACUAAAUGGUGAGAUCCCACAGUAAAUGGACUUACUAAGGAAAACCAAACCAUGAACAACAAUUUUGAGAACUGAGUUGCUUACUACCAGUAGAUAAGAAUGGACUCCUGUAUGCCCUUGUCUUCAUUUGAGCUUGGCUUGACAGAUAGGAAGACAAAAGUAUAUCCUAGAUUUACAUCACAAGUGCCUCUGUCCAGGUUUCACUGAAAAUAUAAGGACUGGGAUCUCAAGAACAUCAACAGCUACCAACAAAUGGGAACAUUUUGUCCAUUGUGAUUUUUUUCCAUUGUGUGUCUGGCUAUUCAACAAACACAUCAGUGUAGAAUUCCAGCUGAUGAUUUCUCUAUAAGUGGUAAUUCUCAAACCUGAUGUUCAACUUUUCUCUUUAAAUUUCUACCACCUCCAUCAUUAUUCCCACCACCAUUAUUAUGUCAGCCAAACAGUUUCUUCUUCUUCCCAAGGAAAAUUGAUUGAAAUGAUAACCAUUCCCUUAAGGAGUGACGUGUCAUCUCUGCUUCAGACUAUAUGACUGCCAUCAUUUCUGCUCCUUUUGAAACAACAAAAAUCUUCCAAGGGCCUUGAAGAAGAUGGCUUGAAAACAUGGAAAGUCAUUUUGAGAUACUUGACAUUCCAUAGGAAAGGACAUACAUUUUUGCAUCCCAUGAAGAGAGCCAUUUUCUUGAUGGUAUAGAGAGAAUAAAAUCCAGCAUGAGAGGCUAAUCCCAAAGUACAAUAAAGCCAUGACUCCCUGGGG